Molecule: long non-coding RNA, 722 nt
Filed under: Physcomitrium patens
Lineage: Eukaryota; Viridiplantae; Streptophyta; Bryopsida; Funariales; Funariaceae
Description: long non-coding RNA (PPAT_LNC010386)
Source: RNAcentral
GAAGCCGCACAUGCAAAAAAACACACACAUGCUGUUGCUUCCAUGAUGCAGGUUGCGACAAGGAAAAGAGGGUUGGGUUUCGUUGCUGGUGUAAGAUUCCUUCAGGAAUCUGUCUUGUAAUUGCUCCGACAAGCCACCACAAGCGUACAAGUUGCGAGAAGGGUCUUGUUUGUGAGAAGAAAACAAUGGGGAAAGAAGCAGGAGAAGAAGGAAAAAUUCCAACAACAACAACAACACCUGAAUUUGGCUCCUCCACAGAAUGACAAACGGUAUCCCUCUCUUUCAGAUUCCCCGGUCCGUGUUCCCUUGCAUGAAUCGUUCAGACAACUCAAAGGCUCAUUGAUGUCAGCCAGUUGGUUUCUUUUUUGUGUUUUUUUUAGAAUAUUGUUUUGGACAUGCCGAUUGCUUAGAUCCCAUGCUAGUUUUCAUCACUUCGAAUUGUGAAUGGCCGAAAAUUAGACAUCGACAUUAACGAAAUCAACACACAAAGGAGACGCUACAGUGAAACUCUACGCUGCGGGAUCAGCAAAACACAUUGUUAAUGUCAUCGUUAAUGACAACGUGAAAUUAAAAAUUAAAUUAAAAAACUAAAGAUUCUUUUUCUCUUCUAAUUUUACUGAGCAAAACAAAAAACAAACAGCAAAGAAAACAAAAACACGAAUAUAAUCUGAAUGGAAUACAAUAUAAUUUUAAAUAUAUCUAUCCAUCUAUUUAUGCAUAUA